GACGAACGCUGGCGGCGUGCUUAACACAUGCAAGUCGAACGGAAAGGCCCUGCUUUUGUGGGGUGCUCGAGUGGCGAACGGGUGAGUAACACGUGAGUAACCUGCCCUUGACUUUGGGAUAACUUCAGGAAACUGGGGCUAAUACCGGAUAGGAGCCCCUGCUGCAUGGAGGGGGUUGGAAAGUUUCGGCGGUUGGGGAUGGACUCGCGGCUUAUCAGCUUGUUGGUGGGGUAGUGGCUUACCAAGGCUUUGACGGGUAGCCGGCCUGAGAGGGUGACCGGCCACAUUGGGACUGAGAUACGGCCCAGACUCCUACGGGAGGCAGCAGUGGGGAAUAUUGCACAAUGGGCGGAAGCCUGAUGCAGCAACGCCGCGUGCGGGAUGACGGCCUUCGGGUUGUAAACCGCUUUCGCCUGUGACGAAGCGUGAGUGACGGUAAUGGGUAAAGAAGCACCGGCUAACUACGUG
Molecule: ribosomal RNA, 468 nt
Filed under: uncultured bacterium
Lineage: Bacteria
Description: partial 16S ribosomal RNA
Rfam family: Bacterial small subunit ribosomal RNA
Source: RNAcentral